Molecule: ribosomal RNA, 349 nt
Filed under: uncultured Sphingobacteriales bacterium
Lineage: Bacteria; Pseudomonadati; Bacteroidota; Sphingobacteriia; Sphingobacteriales
Description: bacterial SSU rRNA
Rfam family: Bacterial small subunit ribosomal RNA
Source: RNAcentral
ACAAGGUGCUGCAUGGUUGUCGUCAGCUCGUGCCGUGAGGUGUCGGGUUAAGUCCCAUAACGAGCGCAACCCUUACCGUUAGUUGCCAUCGGGUCAAGCCGGGGACUCUAGCGGGACUGCCACCGUAAGGUGAGAGGAAGGUGGGGAUGACGUCAAAUCAGCACGGCCCUUAUGUCCAGGGCUACACACGUGUUACAAUGGCCGGUACAGAGGGCAGCUACCUGGUGACAGGAUGCUAAUCCCGAAAGCCGGUCCCAGUUCGGAUUGGAGUCUGCAACCCGACUCCAUGAAGUUGGAUUCGCUAGUAAUCGUGUCUCAAAAUGGCACGGUGAAUAUGUCCCUGCUCCUU